UUGAAGCUAUUUCCUUUUUCGCUUAGAGAUCGUGCUAAAGCUUGGUUUUCGUCUUUGCCUAAAAAUAGCAUUGAUUCGUGGAAUAAGUGCAAGGAUGCUUUUAUCUCUAAGUAUUUUCCUCCCGCUAAGAUCACCUCUCUUAGAAACGAUAUUAUGAAUUUUAAGCAACUUAAUCAUGAACAUGUUGCACAAGCUUGGGAGAGGAUGAAAUUAAUGAUACGUAAUUGCCCUACUCAUGGUUUGAAUUUGUGGAUGAUUAUACAAAAAAUUUAUGCCAGAUUGAAUUUUGCUUCUAGAAAUCUUUUAGAUUCAGCCACGGGAGGCACUUUUAUGGAAAUCACUUUAGGAGAAGCUACUAAACUCCUAGAUAAUAUUAUGGUUAAUUACUCUUAA
This 393-nucleotide ribosomal RNA is filed under the name Triticum aestivum (bread wheat). RNAcentral describes it as "partial small subunit ribosomal RNA". The record is from RNAcentral. Lineage: Eukaryota; Viridiplantae; Streptophyta; Magnoliopsida; Poales; Poaceae.